Molecule: ribosomal RNA, 886 nt
Filed under: uncultured archaeon
Lineage: Archaea
Description: bacterial SSU rRNA
Rfam family: Archaeal small subunit ribosomal RNA
Source: RNAcentral
UCCGGUUGAUCCCGCCGGACCCCACUGCUAUCGGGAUAGGACUAAGACAUGCUAGUUGAGCGCUUCCAGCCAACACGGGAGCGCAGCGCACAGCUCAGUAACACGUGGCUAAUCUGCCCUUGGGACCGGAAUACCCCCGGGAAACUGGGGCUAAUUCUCGAUAGGUGAAGAACUCUGGAAUGAGUCUUUGCCAAAAAGACGUUUACGUUAUGCUCGUAGGCGUUGCCCAAGGAUGAGGCCGCGACCGAUCAGGUUGUUGGUGAGGUAAUGGCUCACCAAGCCUUUUACCGGUGCGGGCCGUGAGAGCGGGAGCCCGGAGAUGGGCACUGAGACAAGGGCCCAGGCCCUACGGGGCGCAGCAGUCGCGAAAACUUUGCAAUACACGAAAGUGUGACAGGGCUAUCCCGAGUGCCAUCCGCUGAGGAAGGCUUUUACCCAGUCUAGAACGCUGGGGGAGUAAGGAGAGGGCAAGUCUGGUGUCAGCCGCCGCGGUAAUACCAGCUCUCCGAGUGGUGUGGAUGUUUAUUGGGCCUAAAGCAUCCGUAGCUGGCUGAGUUAGUCCCUUGUUAAAUCCACCGAAUUAAUCGUUGGAUUGCGGGGGAUACUGCUCGGCUAGGGGACGAGAGAGGCAGACGGUAUUUCUGGGGUAGGGGUGAAAUCCUAUAAUCCCAGGAGGACCACCAGUGGCGAAGGCUGUCUGCUAGAACGCGCCCGACGGUGAGGGAUGAAAGCUGGGGGAGCGAACCGGAUUAGAUACCCGGGUAGUCCCAGCUGUAAACGAUGCAGACUAGGUGUUUGGACGGCCACGCGCCGUUCUAGUGCCGCAGGGAAGCUGUUAAGUCUGCCGCCUGGGGAGUACGAUCGCAAGAUUGAAACUUAAAGGAAU